GCGUCCGCCGCUGCUCUGUGGGGAAUUCCUGCUCGGGGGUGGGCGUGAGGCCCCGGCGGGCGUGUGGCGGUCGGGAGCGGCGGGGCCGGGCCCCGGAGCGAUGGCGUGAGAAAAGAAAACAGCAGCAGCAACAACAACAAAAAC
Long non-coding RNA from Melozone crissalis (California towhee), 144 nucleotides. RefSeq lists it as uncharacterized. The transcript has 2 exons. Lineage: Eukaryota; Metazoa; Chordata; Aves; Passeriformes; Passerellidae. The record is from RefSeq and is a predicted model, not a curated record.